RNAcentral lists this ribosomal RNA (253 nucleotides) under uncultured bacterium. RNAcentral describes it as "partial 16S ribosomal RNA". It matches the Rfam family "Bacterial small subunit ribosomal RNA", at positions 524 to 776 of the family's 1533-position model. The record is from RNAcentral.
UACAGAGGUGGCAAGCGUUGUUCGGAAUUACUGGGCGUAAAGGGCGCGUAGGCGGCCAUCUAAGUCAGACGUGAAAUCCCCCGGCUUAACCUGGGAACUGCGUCUGAUACUGGAAGGCUUGAGUAUGGGAGAGGGAUGUAGAAUUCCAGGUGUAGCGGUGAAAUGCGUAGAUAUCAGGAGGAACACCGGUGGCGAAGGCGGAUCUCUGGGCCUUACCUGACGCUCAGGUGCGAAAGCUAGGGGAGCGAACAGG